RNAcentral lists this ribosomal RNA (778 nucleotides) under uncultured bacterium. Its description in RNAcentral is "bacterial SSU rRNA". It matches the Rfam family "Bacterial small subunit ribosomal RNA", at positions 51 to 828 of the family's 1533-position model. The record is from RNAcentral.
ACACAUGCAAGUCGAACGAGAAUCUACUGAAGGAGGAUUCGUCCAACGGAAGUAGAGGAAAGUGGCGGACGGGUGAGUAACGCGUGAGGAACCUGCCUUGAAGAGGUGGACAACAGUUGGAAACGACUGCUAAUACCGCAUGAAGCAUAGGGGUCGCAUGAUCUUUAUGCCAAAGAUUUAUCGCUUCAAGAUGGCCUCGCGUCUGAUUAGCUGGUUGGCGGGGUAACGGCCCACCAAGGCGACGAUCAGUAGCCGGACUGAGAGGUUGAACGGCCACAUUGGGACUGAGAUACGGCCCAGACUCCUACGGGAGGCAGCAGUGGGGAAUAUUGGGCAAUGGGCGCAAGCCUGACCCAGCAACGCCGCGUGAAGGAAGAAGGCUUUCGGGUUGUAAACUUCUUUUAAGAGGGAAGAGCAGAAGACGGUACCUCUAGAAUAAGCCACGGCUAACUACGUGCCAGCAGCCGCGGUAAUACGUAGGUGGCAAGCGUUGUCCGGAUUUACUGGGUGUAAAGGGCGUGCAGCCGGGUCUGCAAGUCGGAUGUGAAAUCCAUGGGCUCAACCCAUGAACUGCAUUUGAAACUGUAGAUCUUGAGUGUCGGAGGGGCAAUCGGAAUUCCUAGUGUAGCGGUGAAAUGCGUAGAUAUUAGGAGGAACACCAGUGGCGAAGGCGGAUUGCUGGACGAUAACUGACGGUGAGGCGCGAAAGUGUGGGGAGCAAACAGGAUUAGAUACCCUGGUAGUCCACACUGUAAACGAUGAAUACUAGGUGUGCGGG